GGCCCCGUAGUUCAAUGGAUAGAACACCAGCCUUCUAAGCUGGAUAUCUAGGUUCGAUUCCUAGCGGGGUCACCA
This 75-nucleotide transfer RNA is filed under the name Candidatus Falkowiibacteriota bacterium. RNAcentral describes it as "tRNA-Arg". It matches the Rfam family "tRNA". From Rfam's summary of the family: Transfer RNA (tRNA) molecules are approximately 80 nucleotides in length. Lineage: Bacteria; Candidatus Falkowiibacteriota. The record is from RNAcentral.